GGGGGGGGGGGGGGGGGGGGCGUGGGGGGGGGGGGGGGGGGGUGGCGGGUUGGGCUGCCGGGUGGCGGACGGGUGAGUAGUGUAUCGGGACGUGCCCAGUCGGGGGGGAUAACUGCUCGAACGAGCAGCUGAUACCGCAUCCGGCCUGAGGGUGAAAGCGGGGAAUCGCAAGACCGCACGCGAUUGGAGCGACCGAUAUCCGAUUCGGUAGUUGGUGAGGUCAAGGCCCACCAAGCCGACGAUGUGUAGCUGGUCUGAGAGGACGACCAGCCACACUGGGACUGAGAAACGGCCCAGACUCCGACGGGAGGCAGCAGUGGGGAAUUUUGGACAAUGGGCGCAAGCCUGAUCCAGCCAUGCCGCGUGCGGGAAGAAGGCCUUCGGGUUGGAAACCGCUUUUGUCAGGGAAGAAAAGGGUCUGGCUAAUACCUGGGACUCAUGACGGUACCUGAAGAAUAAGCACCGGCUAACUACGUG
RNAcentral lists this ribosomal RNA (477 nucleotides) under uncultured bacterium. Its description in RNAcentral is "partial 16S ribosomal RNA". It matches the Rfam family "Bacterial small subunit ribosomal RNA", at positions 38 to 507 of the family's 1533-position model. The record is from RNAcentral.